UACGGAGGGUGCAAGCGUUAUCCGGAUUUAUUGGGUUUAAAGGGUCCGUAGGCUGAUGUGUAAGUCAGUGGUGAAAUCUCACAGCUUAACUGUGAAACUGCCAUUGAUACUGCAUGUCUUGAGUAUAUUUGAAGUAGCUGGAAUAAGUAGUGUAGCGGUGAAAUGCAUAGAUAUUACUUAGAACACCAAUUGCGAAGGCAGGUUACUAAACUAUAACUGACGCUGAUGGACGAAAGCGUGGGGAGCGAACAGG
RNAcentral lists this ribosomal RNA (253 nucleotides) under uncultured bacterium. Its description in RNAcentral is "partial 16S ribosomal RNA". It matches the Rfam family "Bacterial small subunit ribosomal RNA", at positions 524 to 776 of the family's 1533-position model. The record is from RNAcentral.